GGAGCGUUCUGUAAGCCGUUGAAGCGGAAGCCGGGAGGCACCGUGGAGGUAUCAGAAGUGCGAAUGCUGACAUGAGUAACGAUCAUCAGGGUGAAAAGCCCUGACGCCGAAAGCCCAAGGGUUCCUGCGCAACGUUAAUCGGCGCAGGGUGAGUCGGCCCCUAAGACGAGGCGGAAACGCGUAGUCGAUGGGAAACCGGUUAAUAAUCCGGUACUGGGCGGUAUUGCGAUGGGGGGACGGAGAAGGCUAGGCCAGCCGGGUGUUGGAUGUCCCGGUUCAAGCGUGUAGGCAGAGACUCUAGGCAAAUCCGGAGUCUCUAUGCUGAGGCGUGAUGACCAGUCUCCUCGGAGACGACGUGGUUGAUGCCCCGCUUCCAAGAAAAGCCUCUAAGCUUCAGAUACCGCGCAACCGUACCCCAAACCGACACAGGUGGUCAGGUAGAGAAUACCAAGGCGCUUGAGAGAACUCGGGUGAAGGAACUAGGCAAAAUGGUACCGUAACUUCGGGAGAAGGUACGCUUCUGACGGUGAAGUCCCUUGCGGAUGGAGCUAUCGGAAGUCGCAGAUACCAGGUGGCUGCAACUGUUUAUUAAAAACACAGCACUCUGCAAACACGAAAGUGGACGUAUAGGGUGUGACGCCUGCCCGGUGCCGGAAGGUUAAUUGAUGGGGUUAGCGUAAGCGAAGCUCUUGAUCGAAGCCCCGGUAAACGGCGGCCGUAACAAUAACGGUCCUAAGGUAGCGAAAUUCCUUGUCGGGUAAGUUCCGACCUGCACGAAUGGCGUAACGAUGGCCACACUGUCUCCACCCGAGACUCAGUGAAAUUGAACUUGCUGUUAAGAUGCAGUAUACCCGCGGCUAGACGGAAAGACCCCGUGAACCUUCACUACAGCUUUGCACUGGAUUCCGAGUCGGUUUGUGUAGGAUAGGUGGGAGGCGUUGAAGCGGCCACGCCAGUGGCCGUGGAGCCGACCUUGAAAUACCACCCUGGCCUACUUGGAGUUCUAACCUCGGUCCGUGAUCCGGAUCAGGGACAGUGUAUGGUGGGUAGUUUGACUGGGGCGGUCUCCUCCCAAAGAGUAACGGAGGAGCACGAAGGUGGGCUAAUCACGGUUGGACAUCGUGAGGUUAGUGCAAUGGCAUAAGCCCGCUUGACUGCGAGAAUGACAAUUCGAGCAGGUGCGAAAGCAGGUCAUAGUGAUCCGGUGGUUCUGUAUGGAAGGGCCAUCGCUCAACGGAUAAAAGGUACUCCGGGGAUAACAGGCUGAUACCGCCCAAGAGUUCAUAUCGACGGCGGUGUUUGGCACCUCGAUGUCGGCUCAUCACAUCCUGGGGCUGAAGUCGGUCCCAAGGGUAUGGCUGUUCGCCAUUUAAAGUGGUACGCGAGCUGGGUUUAGAACGUCGUGAGACAGUUCGGUCCCUAUCUGCCGUGGGCGUUGGAGAAUUGAGGGGAGCUGCUCCUAGUACGAGAGGACCGGAGUGGACGUACCUCUGGUGUGCCGGUUGUGUCGCCAGACGCAGCGCCGGGUAGCUAAGUACGGACGGGAUAACCGCUGAAAGCAUCUAAGCGGGAAGCCUACCCCAAGAUGAGUUCUCCCGAGCCCUUGAGGCUCCUGAAGGUCCGUCGAAGACCACGACGUCGAUAGGCGGGGUGUGGACGCGCGGUAACGCGUGAAGCUAACCCGUACUAAUGAACCGUGCGGCUUGACCAU
Molecule: ribosomal RNA, 1711 nt
Filed under: Podocoryna carnea
Lineage: Eukaryota; Metazoa; Cnidaria; Hydrozoa; Anthoathecata; Hydractiniidae
Description: bacterial LSU rRNA
Rfam family: Bacterial large subunit ribosomal RNA
Source: RNAcentral